GAGUUUGAUCAUGGCUCAGAACGUACGCUGGCGGCACGCCUAACACAUGCAAGUCGAACGAAGUAGCAAUACUUAGUGGCAGACGGGUGAGUAACAUGUAGGUAUCUGCCCUUUGGCCUGGAAUAACACGAGGAAACUUGUGCUAAUACCGGAUAAGUCUUUACGGAGAAAGCUUUAUGCACCAUUGGAUGAGCCUGCACUUGAUUAGUUUGUUGGUGGGGUAAUGGCCUACCAAGACUGUGAUCAAUAGCUGAUUUGAGAGGAUGAUCAGCCACAUUGGGACUGAGACACGGCCCAAACUCCUACGGGAGGCAGCAGUGGGGAAUCUUGCACAAUGGAGGAAACUCUGAUGCAGCGAUGCCGCGUGAGUGAAGAAGGCCCUUGGGUUGUAAAGCUCUUUCGUCGGGGAAGAAAAUGACUGUACCCGAAUAAGAAGGUCCGGCUAACUUCGUGCCAGCAGCCGCGGUAAUACGAAGGGACCUAGCGUAGUUCGGAAUUACUGGGCUUAAAGAGUUCGUAGGUGGUUGAAAAAGUUAGUGGUGAAAUCCCAGAGCUUAACUCUGGAACUGCCAUUAAAACUUUUCAGCUAGAGUAUGAUAGAGGAAAGCAGAAUUUCUAGUGUAGAGGUGAAAUUCGUAGAUAUUAGAAAGAAUACCAAUUGCGAAGGCAGCUUUCUGGAUCAUUACUGACACUGAGGAACGAAAGCAUGGGUAGCGAAGAGGAUUAGAUACCCUCGUAGUCCAUGCCGUAAACGAUGUGUGUUAGACGUUGGAAAUUUAUUUUCAGUGUCGCAGGAAACCGAUAAACACACCGCCUGGGGAGUACGACCGCAAGGUUAAAACUCAAAUGAAUUGACGGGGACCCGCACAAGUAGUGGAGCAUGUGGUUUAAUUCGAAGAUACGCGCAGAACCUUACCAACACUUGACAUGUUCGUCGCGACUCUAGAGAUUAGAGUUUUCGGUUCGGCCGGACGAAACAACAGGUGCUGCAUGGGCUGUUCGUCA
RNAcentral lists this ribosomal RNA (1005 nucleotides) under uncultured bacterium. Its description in RNAcentral is "bacterial SSU rRNA". It matches the Rfam family "Bacterial small subunit ribosomal RNA", at positions 9 to 1057 of the family's 1533-position model. The record is from RNAcentral.